Molecule: ribosomal RNA, 2617 nt
Filed under: Staphylococcus aureus
Lineage: Bacteria; Bacillati; Bacillota; Bacilli; Caryophanales; Staphylococcaceae
Description: partial 23S ribosomal RNA
Rfam family: Bacterial large subunit ribosomal RNA
Source: RNAcentral
CUCUAUACGGAGUUACAAAGGACGACAUUAGACGAAUCAUCUGGAAAGAUGAAUCAAAGAAGGUAAUAAUCCUGUAGUCGAAAAUGUUGUCUCUCUUGAGUGGAUCCUGAGUACGACGGAGCACGUGAAAUUCCGUCGGAAUCUGGGAGGACCAUCUCCUAAGGCUAAAUACUCUCUAGUGACCGAUAGUGAACCAGUACCGUGAGGGAAAGGUGAAAAGCACCCCGGAAGGGGAGUGAAAUAGAACCUGAAACCGUGUGCUUACAAGUAGUCAGAGCCCGUUAAUGGGUGAUGGCGUGCCUUUUGUAGAAUGAACCGGCGAGUUACGAUUUGAUGCAAGGUUAAGCAGUAAAUGUGGAGCCGUAGCGAAAGCGAGUCUGAAUAGGGCGUUUAGUAUUUGGUCGUAGACCCGAAACCAGGUGAUCUACCCUUGGUCAGGUUGAAGUUCAGGUAACACUGAAUGGAGGACCGAACCGACUUACGUUGAAAAGUGAGCGGAUGAACUGAGGGUAGCGGAGAAAUUCCAAUCGAACCUGGAGAUAGCUGGUUCUCUCCGAAAUAGCUUUAGGGCUAGCCUCAAGUGAUGAUUAUUGGAGGUAGAGCACUGUUUGGACGAGGGGCCCCUCUCGGGUUACCGAAUUCAGACAAACUCCGAAUGCCAAUUAAUUUAACUUGGGAGUCAGAACAUGGGUGAUAAGGUCCGUGUUCGAAAGGGAAACAGCCCAGACCACCAGCUAAGGUCCCAAAAUAUAUGUUAAGUGGAAAAGGAUGUGGCGUUGCCCAGACAACUAGGAUGUUGGCUUAGAAGCAGCCAUCAUUUAAAGAGUGCGUAAUAGCUCACUAGUCGAGUGACACUGCGCCGAAAAUGUACCGGGGCUAAACAUAUUACCGAAGCUGUGGAUUGUCCUUUGGACAAUGGUAGGAGAGCGUUCUAAGGGCGUUGAAGCAUGAUCGUAAGGACAUGUGGAGCGCUUAGAAGUGAGAAUGCCGGUGUGAGUAGCGAAAGACGGGUGAGAAUCCCGUCCACCGAUUGACUAAGGUUUCCAGAGGAAGGCUCGUCCGCUCUGGGUUAGUCGGGUCCUAAGCUGAGGCCGACAGGCGUAGGCGAUGGAUAACAGGUUGAUAUUCCUGUACCACCUAUAAUCGUUUUAAUCGAUGGGGGGACGCAGUAGGAUAGGCGAAGCGUGCGAUUGGAUUGCACGUCUAAGCAGUAAGGCUGAGUAUUAGGCAAAUCCGGUACUCAUUAAGGCUGAGCUGUGAUGGGGAGAAGACAUUGUGUCUUCGAGUCGUUGAUUUCACACUGCCGAGAAAAGCCUCUAGAUAGAAAAUAGGUGCCCGUACCGCAAACCGACACAGGUAGUCAAGAUGAGAAUUCUAAGGUGAGCGAGCGAACUCUCGUUAAGGAACUCGGCAAAAUGACCCCGUAACUUCGGGAGAAGGGGUGCUCUUUAGGGUUAACGCCCAGAAGAGCCGCAGUGAAUAGGCCCAAGCGACUGUUUAUCAAAAACACAGGUCUCUGCUAAACCGUAAGGUGAUGUAUAGGGGCUGACGCCUGCCCGGUGCUGGAAGGUUAAGAGGAGUGGUUAGCUUCUGCGAAGCUACGAAUCGAAGCCCCAGUAAACGGCGGCCGUAACUAUAACGGUCCUAAGGUAGCGAAAUUCCUUGUCGGGUAAGUUCCGACCCGCACGAAAGGCGUAACGAUUUGGGCACUGUCUCAACGAGAGACUCGGUGAAAUCAUAGUACCUGUGAAGAUGCAGGUUACCCGCGACAGGACGGAAAGACCCCGUGGAGCUUUACUGUAGCCUGAUAUUGAAAUUCGGCACAGCUUGUACAGGAUAGGUAGGAGCCUUUGAAACGUGAGCGCUAGCUUACGUGGAGGCGCUGGUGGGAUACUACCCUAGCUGUGUUGGCUUUCUAACCCGCACCACUUAUCGUGGUGGGAGACAGUGUCAGGCGGGCAGUUUGACUGGGGCGGUCGCCUCCUAAAAGGUAACGGAGGCGCUCAAAGGUUCCCUCAGAAUGGUUGGAAAUCAUUCAUAGAGUGUAAAGGCAUAAGGGAGCUUGACUGCGAGACCUACAAGUCGAGCAGGGUCGAAAGACGGACUUAGUGAUCCGGUGGUUCCGCAUGGAAGGGCCAUCGCUCAACGGAUAAAAGCUACCCCGGGGAUAACAGGCUUAUCUCCCCCAAGAGUUCACAUCGACGGGGAGGUUUGGCACCUCGAUGUCGGCUCAUCGCAUCCUGGGGCUGUAGUCGGUCCCAAGGGUUGGGCUGUUCGCCCAUUAAAGCGGUACGCGAGCUGGGUUCAGAACGUCGUGAGACAGUUCGGUCCCUAUCCGUCGUGGGCGUAGGAAAUUUGAGAGGAGCUGUCCUUAGUACGAGAGGACCGGGAUGGACAUACCUCUGGUGUACCAGUUGUCGUGCCAACGGCAUAGCUGGGUAGCUAUGUGUGGACGGGAUAAGUGCUGAAAGCAUCUAAGCAUGAAGCCCCCCUCAAGAUGAGAUUUCCCAACUUCGGUUAUAAGAUCCCUCAAAGAUGAUGAGGUUAAUAGGUUCGAGGUGGAAGCAUGGUGACAUGUGGAGCUGACGAAUACUAAUCGAUCGAAGACUUAAUCAAA